UCAUCUCCGGGGGUAGAGCACUGUUUCGGCUAGGGGGUCAUCCCGACUUACCAACCCGAUGCAAACUGCGAAUACCGGAGAAUGUUAUCACGGGAGACACACGGCGGGUGCUAACGUUCGUCGUGAAGAGGGAAACAACCCAGACCGCCGGCUAAGGUCCCAAAGUCAUAAUUAAGUGGGAAACGAAGUGGGAAGGCUCAGACAGCCAGGAUGUUGGCUUAGAAGCAGCCAUCAUUUAAAGAAAGCGUAAUAGCUCACUGGUCGAGUCGGCCUGCGCGGAAGAUGUAACGGGGCUAAAUUAUGCACCGAAGCCGCGGCAGCGAUAUGUAAAUAUUGUUGGGUAGGGGAGCGUUCUGUAAGCCUGUGAAGGUGUGCUGUGAGGCAUGCUGGAGGUAUCAGAAGUGCGAAUGCUGACAUAAGUAACGAUAAUGCGGGUGAAAAACCCGCACGCCGGAAGACCAAGGGUUCCUGUCCAACGUUAAUCGGGGCAGGGUGAGUCGACCCCUAAGGCGAGGCUGAAAAGCGUAGUCGAUGGGCAACGGGUUAAUAUUCCCGUACUGGUGGUAACUGCGAAGGGGGGACGGAGAAAGCUAAAUCAUCCGGGCGACGGUUGUCCCGGUUUAAGCGUGCAGGUGGACUGACCAGGCAAAUCCGGUCGGUUGUUAACACUGAGGCGUGACGACGAGCCACUACGGUGGUGAAGUGAUUGAUGCUCUGCUUCCGGGAAAAGCCUCUAAGCUCCAGGUUACCAUUAAUCGUACCCCAAACCGACACAGGUGGUCAGGUAGAGAAUACUCAGGCGCUUGAGAGAACUCGGGUGAAGGAACUAGGCAAAAUGGUGCCGUAACUUCGGGAGAAGGCACGCUGGCAUUAGGUGAAGUGGUUUACCCAUGGAGCUGAAGCCAGCCGCAGAUACCAGCUGGCUGCAACUGUUUAUUAAAAACACAGCACUGUGCAAACACGAAAGUGGACGUAUACGGUGUGACGCCUGCCCGGUGCCGGAAGGUUAAUUGAUGAGGUUAGCGUAAGCGAAGCUUCUGAUCGAAGCCCCGGUAAACGGCGGCCGUAACUAUAACGGUCCUAAGGUAGCGAAAUUCCUUGUCGGGUAAGUUCCGACCUGCACGAAUGGCGUAAUGAUGGCCAGGCUGUCUCCACCCGAGACUCAGUGAAAUUGAACUCGCUGUGAAGAUGCAGUGUACCCGCGGCAAGACGGAAAGACCCCGUGAACCUUUACUAUAGCUUGACACUGAACAUUGAGCCUUGAUGUGUAGGAUAGGUGGGAGGCAACGAAGUGUGGACGCCAGUCUGCACGGAGCCAUCCUUGAAAUACCACCCUUUAACGUUUGAUGUUCUAACCCGGGUCCAUAAUCUGGAUCGGGGACCGUGUCUGGUGGGUAGUUUGACUGGGGCGGUCUCCUCCCAAAGAGUAACGGAGGAGCACGAAGGUUGGCUAAGCAUGGUCGGACAUCAUGCGGUUAGUGCAAAGGCAUAAGCCAGCUUGACUGCGAGAGUGACGGCUCGAGCAGGUACGAAAGUAGGUCUUAGUGAUCCGGUGGUUCUGAAUGGAAGGGCCAUCGCUCAACGGAUAAAAGGUACUCCGGGGAUAACAGGCUGAUACCGCCCAAGAGUUCAUAUCGACGGCGGUGUUUGGCACCUCGAUGUCGGCUCAUCACAUCCUGGGGCUGAAGUAGGUCCCAAGGGUAUGGCUGUUCGCCAUUUAAAGUGGUACGCGAGCUGGGUUUAGAACGUCGUGAGACAGUUCGGUCCCUAUCUGCCGUGGGCGCUGGAAGAUUGAGAGGGGUUGCUCCUAGUACGAGAGGACCGGAGUGAACGCACCACUGGUGUACGGGUUGUGAUGCCAAUUGCAUUGCCCGGUAGCUAAGUGCGGAAGAGAUAACCGCUGAAAGCAUCUAAGCGGGAAACUUGCCUCGAGAUGAGUCUUCCCUGACCCUUUAAGGGUCCUGAAGGAACGUUUGAGACUAAGACGUUGAUAGGCUGGGUGUGUAAGCGCAGCGAUGCGUUGAGCUGACCAGUACUAAUGAACCGUGAGGCUUAACCU
RNAcentral lists this ribosomal RNA (2059 nucleotides) under metagenome. Its description in RNAcentral is "bacterial LSU rRNA". It matches the Rfam family "Bacterial large subunit ribosomal RNA", at positions 890 to 2925 of the family's 2925-position model. The record is from RNAcentral.